UGGCGUCCUCAGGGCGUCCGAGUUGUAAUCUAUAGAGGCGUUUUCCGUGCCGGACCGUGUCCAAGUUCCUUGGAACAGGAUAUCAAAGAGGGUGACAAUCCCGUACUUGACACGAUGACCGGUGCUCUGUGAUACGUCUUCUACGAGUCGAGUUGUUUGGGAAUGCAGCUCAAAAUGGGUGGUGAGUUCCAUCUAAAGCUAAAUAUUGGCGAGAGACCGAUAGCGAACAAGUACCGUGAGGGAAAGAUGAAAAGCACUUUGGAAAGAGAGUUAAACAGUACGUGAAAUUGUUGAAAGGGAAACGAUUGAAGUCAGUCGUGACUGAGAGGCUCAGCCGGUUCUGCCGGUGUAUUCCCCUCAGUCGGGUCAACAUCAGUUUUGUCCGGUGGAAAAGGGCGGUAGGAACGUGGCACCUCCGGGUGUGUUAUAGCCUGCCGUCGCAUACAUCGGGUGAGACUGAGGAAUGCAGCUCGCCUUUAUGGCCGGGGUUCGCCCACGUCCGAGCUUAGGAUGUUGACAUAAUGGCUUUAAACGACC
This 537-nucleotide ribosomal RNA is filed under the name Papiliotrema rajasthanensis. RNAcentral's name for it is "LSU rRNA". It matches the Rfam family "Eukaryotic large subunit ribosomal RNA", at positions 123 to 649 of the family's 3401-position model. Lineage: Eukaryota; Fungi; Basidiomycota; Tremellomycetes; Tremellales; Rhynchogastremaceae. The record is from RNAcentral.